UGGGGAAUUUUGCACAAUGGGCGCAAGCCUGAUGCAGCCAUGCCGCGUGUGUGAAGAAGGCCUUCGGGUUGUAAAGCACUUUCAGCGAGGAGGAAGGUGGUGAACUUAAUACGUUCAUCAAUUGACGUUACUCGCAGAAGAAGCACCGGCUAACUCCGUGCCAGCAGCCGCGGUAAUACGGAGGGUGCAAGCGUUAAUCGGAAUUACUGGGCGUAAAGCGCACGCAGGCGGUUUGUUAAGUCAGAUGUGAAAUCCCCGGGCUCAACCUGGGAACUGCAUUUGAAACUGGCAAGCUAGAGUCUCGUAGAGGGGGGUAGAAUUCCAGGUGUAGCGGUGAAAUGCGUAGAGAUCUGGAGGAAUACCGGUGGCGAAGGCGGCCCCCUGGACGAAGACUGACGCUCAGGUGCGAAAGCGUGGGGAGCAAACAGAUUAGNUACCCUGGUAGUCCACGCUGUAAAACGAUGUCGAUUUUGGAGGUUGUGCCCUUGAGGCGUGGNUUCCGGAGCUAACGNGUUAAAUCGACCGCC
Molecule: ribosomal RNA, 527 nt
Filed under: uncultured bacterium
Lineage: Bacteria
Description: partial 16S ribosomal RNA
Rfam family: Bacterial small subunit ribosomal RNA
Source: RNAcentral